UAUAUGUCUGCAAGUUUGGUUGGCAGUUUCCCUUAUUACAGAUGCGUUGGCUGCAUCUGGUCAGGCGUUGAUUGCUAGUUCGGUUUCAAAAGGGAAUUAUAGAUCUGUGAAGGAUAUCACAUACUUCGUGUUGACUAUUGGUUUUGUGAUGGGUGUUACUUUGGCUGCAAUAUUGGGAGUUUCAUUUGGUUCCAUAGUCACACUGUUCACUAAGGACAUUGGAGUAUUGGCGAUUGCUAGAACCGGGGUUUUGUUUGUGAGUGCUAGUCAGCCUUUGAAUGCUUUUGCUUUUAUUGUUGAUGGUUUGCAUUAUGGAGUUUCAGACUUCCCGUAUGCUGCUUAUUCCAUGGUAUGCUUUUUUUUAGACAUGAAUAUAAAAUUACAUAUUUGCCCUUGGAUUAAUAUGUUUUCACUGUAGAUGCUUGUUGGGAUUUUAUCGUCUGUAAUUGCAACUUGUUAUGAGAUGGCCAAAACCAUUGCAUUUUGCAAUAGUUGAUGAACUUGAUUAUGUCCUAAUUGAUGAGGGAAGAAACCCAUUGCUGAUAAGGGGUGAGGCUAGCAAGGAUGCUGCACGUAACACAGUUGCUGCUAAAGUAGCUGAGCUUCUCAUGCGUGGCCUCGUAUUUUACUUUUUUGCCCUUCUUUUUCCUUUUUGAUGUCUUGUUAUCCAUCUCCAUUGUAUGCGUAUCUCAUUGUUUGUUCCACUACACAUCAUGUAAAUUUAUAUAUUGUAACAAAUAGAAUUGUAAGACAUUAAAUUUUAU
This is a non-coding RNA of Lactuca sativa (garden lettuce), 764 nucleotides long. The record is from RefSeq and is a predicted model, not a curated record. NCBI's taxonomy places the organism in Eukaryota, Viridiplantae, Streptophyta, Magnoliopsida, Asterales, Asteraceae.